Molecule: ribosomal RNA, 500 nt
Filed under: uncultured bacterium
Lineage: Bacteria
Description: partial 16S ribosomal RNA
Rfam family: Bacterial small subunit ribosomal RNA
Source: RNAcentral
AUUGAACGCUGGCGGCAUGCCUUACACAUGCAAGUCAAACGGUAACAGGUCUUUCGGGAUGCUGACGAGUGGCGAACGGGUGAGUAAUACAUCGGAACGUGCCUAGUAGUGGGGGAUAACUACUCGAAAGAGUGGCUAAUACCGCGUGAGAUCUAUGAAUGAAAGCAGGGGACCUUCGGGCCUUGUGCUACUAGAGCGGCCGAUGGCAGAUUAGGUAGUUGGUGGGAUAAAAGCUUACCAAGCCUACGAUCUGUAGCUGGUCUGAGAGGACGAUCAGCCACACUGGGACUGAGACACGGCCCAGACUCCUACGGGAGGCAGCAGUGGGGAAUUUUGGACAAUGGGCGCAAGCCUGAUCCAGCAAUGCCGCGUGCAGGAUGAAGGCCUUCGGGUUGUAAACUGCUUUUGUACGGAACGAAAAGUCUUGGGUUAAUACCCUGGGAUCAUGACGGUACCGUAAGAAUAAGCACCGGCUAACUACGUGCCAGCCGCCGCAGUAA